GUGUGUGUGUGUGUGUGUGCAUAUUCCAUAGACUAGGGGGGUGACAAUGCGGCAUCAAUAAUUUAUCCCCUUUUUGUGGUAUGAACCUAGUCUGCCAUGUGGCAUAUGAACUAACCACUUCUAUCAUGCCACAUAUAUAUACCUGUAAAAAAAUUAUCUAAAUUAUCACCUAAAAUUACUCAACAUAUAUUGCUUGAUGUUAGUAGGUAGGCCACAAAUACACAUGGUGGACUGAGUUCAUAUGAGAACUUUCCCUUUUGUGAGCCUGUCUAACUGCCUCAUAAAAGAGUAUAGUUUUAUGGUUGAAAUCAUUGUUGUCCAAGACUCUGAAGCUAGAUUAUGUUAAUCAAUUUUAUAAGUGCUU
Molecule: unclassified non-coding RNA, 364 nt
Filed under: Hevea brasiliensis (rubber tree)
Lineage: Eukaryota; Viridiplantae; Streptophyta; Magnoliopsida; Malpighiales; Euphorbiaceae
Source: RNAcentral